Molecule: ribosomal RNA, 253 nt
Filed under: uncultured bacterium
Lineage: Bacteria
Description: partial 16S ribosomal RNA
Rfam family: Bacterial small subunit ribosomal RNA
Source: RNAcentral
UACGGAGGGUGCAAGCGUUAAUCGGAAUUACUGGGCGUAAAGCGCACGCAGGUGGCUGAGUCAGUCGAUUGUGAAAGCCCUGGGCUUAACCUGGGAAUUGCAGUCGAUACUACUCAGCUAGAGUAUGGGAGAGGGUAGUGGAAUUCCCGGUGUAGCGGUGAAAUGCGUAGAUAUCGGGAGGAACAUCAGUGGCGAAGGCGGCUACCUGGCCCAAUACUGACACUCAAGUGCGACAGCGUGGGGAGCAAACAGG